RNAcentral lists this non-coding RNA (45 nucleotides) under Trypanosoma brucei brucei. The record is from RNAcentral. Lineage: Eukaryota; Euglenozoa; Kinetoplastea; Trypanosomatida; Trypanosomatidae.
AAUAAAAAUGCAAUAUACAGUGAAGGGAUAGUAUGAGAUAAUUAU